UUAGAUACCCGGGUAGUCCCAGCUGUAAACUAUGCAAACUCAGUGAUGCAUUGGCUUGUGGCCAAUGCAGUAUUGCAGGGAAGCCGUUAAGUUUGCCGCCUGGGAAGUACGUACGCAAGUAUGAAACUUAAAGGAAUUGGCGGGGGAGCACCACAAGGGGUGAAGCCUGCGGUUCAAUUGGAGUCAACGCCAGAAAUCUUACCCGGAGAGACAGCAGAAUGAAGGUCAAGCUGAAGACUUUACCAGACAAGCUGAGAGGUGGUGCAUGGCCGUCGCCAGCUCGUGCCGUGAGAUGUCCUGUUAAGUCAGGUAACGAGCGAGAUCCCUGCCUCUAGUUGCCACCAUUACUCUCAGGAGUAGUAGGGCGAAUUAGCGGGACCGCCACAGUUAAUGUGGAGGAAGGAAGGGGCCACGGCAGGUCAGUAUGCCCCGAAACUCUGGGGCCACACGCGGGCUGCAAUGGUAAUGACAAUUGGUUCCAAAUCCGAAAGGAGGAGGUAAUCCCCAAACAUUACCACAGUUAUGACUGAGGGCUGUAACUCGCCCUCACGAAUAUGGAAUCCCUAGUAACUGCGUGUCAUUAUCGCGCGGUGAAUACGUCCCUGCUCCUUGCUCACACCGCCCGU
Molecule: ribosomal RNA, 626 nt
Filed under: uncultured sediment archaeon
Lineage: Archaea
Description: bacterial SSU rRNA
Rfam family: Archaeal small subunit ribosomal RNA
Source: RNAcentral